CGGAGGGUGCAAGCGUUAUCCGGAUUCACUGGGUUUAAAGGGUGCGUAGGUGGGUCUGUAAGUCCGUGGUGAAAUCUCCGAGCUUAACUUGGAAACUGCCAUGGAUACUAUAGAUCUUGAAUACUGUGGAGGUCAGCGGAAUAUGUCAUGUAGCGGUGAAAUGCUCAGAUAUGACAUAGAACACCAAUUGCGAAGGCAGCUGGCUACACAAAUAUUGACACUGAUGCACGAAAGCGUGGGGAUCAAACAGGAUUAGAUACCCUGGUAGUCCACGCCCUAAACGAUGGAUACUCGACAUUUGCGAUAAACUGCAAGUGUCUGAGCGAAAGCAUUAAGUAUCCCACCUGGGAAGUACGAUCGCAAGAUUG
Molecule: ribosomal RNA, 368 nt
Filed under: uncultured organism
Description: bacterial SSU rRNA
Rfam family: Bacterial small subunit ribosomal RNA
Source: RNAcentral